GUGCUCGCUUCAGCAGCACAUAUACUAAAAUUGGAAUGAUACAGAGAAGAUUAGCGUGGCCCCUACAUAAGGAUGAGAGGCAAAUUCCUGCAGCUUUCCAUAUUUAA
This 107-nucleotide small nuclear RNA is filed under the name Chinchilla lanigera (long-tailed chinchilla). Lineage: Eukaryota; Metazoa; Chordata; Mammalia; Rodentia; Chinchillidae. The record is from RNAcentral.